UACGGGGGGGGCUAGUGUUAUUCAUCGUUACUGGGUGUAAAGCGCGUGUAGGCGGUUUAAAAAGUUCCAACUAGAACAAUCCAGGCUUAACUUGGAAACUAGUUUUUAUACUAUUAAACUAGAGGUUAAAAGAAGGGGGCUAUACUUCUCAGAAAAAGGUGAAAUUUGUCCGAACUGGGGAGGAUAACCGGCAAGCGAAGGCGGCCCCCUACUAUAAUACUGACGCUUUGGCGCAAAAGCUUGGGGAUCAAACGGG
RNAcentral lists this ribosomal RNA (256 nucleotides) under uncultured bacterium. RNAcentral describes it as "partial 16S ribosomal RNA". It matches the Rfam family "Bacterial small subunit ribosomal RNA", at positions 524 to 776 of the family's 1533-position model. The record is from RNAcentral.